UACGUAGGGUGCAAGCGUUGUCCGGAAUUAUUGGGCGUAAAGAGCUCGUAGGCGGUCUGUCGCGUCUGCUGUGAAAACUCGGGGCUUAACCCCGGGCCUGCAGUGGGUACGGGCAGACUAGAGUGCGGUAGGGGAGACUGGAAUUCCUGGUGUAGCGGUGAAAUGCGCAGAUAUCAGGAGGAACACCGGUGGCGAAGGCGGGUCUCUGGGCCGUAACUGGACGCUGGAGGAGCGAAAGCGUUGGGGAGCGAACA
This 254-nucleotide ribosomal RNA is filed under the name uncultured bacterium. Its description in RNAcentral is "partial 16S ribosomal RNA". It matches the Rfam family "Bacterial small subunit ribosomal RNA", at positions 524 to 774 of the family's 1533-position model. The record is from RNAcentral.